This is a small nuclear RNA of Marmota monax (woodchuck), 103 nucleotides long. NCBI's taxonomy places the organism in Eukaryota, Metazoa, Chordata, Mammalia, Rodentia, Sciuridae. The record is from RefSeq and is a predicted model, not a curated record.
GAGCUAGCUUCAGCAGCACAUAUGCUAAAAUUAGAAUGAUACAGAGAAAAUUAGCAUGGCUCUGCACAAGGUGACAUAUAAACAUGAAGUGUUCUGCAUUUGU